GCAACGACCAAUAAAACACACAAAAGAAAAAGGAAAAUACAAACAAUAUCUAAACGACAUUGGAGAUGAUAAUGACGUUGUCGUCCGUUGCGAGAUUGUUGACAACGUUGAGGUGGAUGAGAGCUUGCCAGCGGAAUGAGGGUAGAGGAAAUUGAAAUAAAGGCAAAAGACAUAAUUGAUACGCUUCAGAGAUAAGAUAAUGCAAGAAACGGCAAACAAUAAAAAGUAAUAGUUAAAAUGGAAACAGAAUCUGGAGUCGGAGAAUCAUGGAGGCAGUAAUCGACUGGUCCGUUAGUUGUUCAUGGGGCAUGGGUCUAAAUGCAAAUCGGUAAUUAUUGCAAAGGAAAAUAUGAAGUAGGAAAGUAGUUGAGCAUUCGCCGAGACGCUGAAGGAGUAAAAGUAAAGAAAAUAAGAUUAAAAAAAUAACAGGACGAAGGACGAUGAUUUCACCGUUGACAAAAUUUCAUGGCUCAUCGAAUGCUGCAGACAAUAUGCAGCAAAAUCUGCGUCAAGAUAUGGGUCAUUGCCUCAAAGGAGAAGAAAAACCUUUUAAAGAAAGUUCACACAGAAAAAUCGAAAUGAGGUUGUGUCAACCGCGAGGAGCUUUGACUGACAUUUAAAGGAAAGAAGGAUUAACAGUUAACUGAACAGCAACAUAUUUUCUCUAGAGGCUCAGCAGUAAGCGAACAUCAGUCUUGAAACAAACGGAUUGCCAAUUUGGUGACAAACAGUGCAAGCAUUUGAAGUAUAAGAAUUUGAGGUAAUACAUCUAAAACUUGAACAUGAAGGUAUAGUGAUAUUCAACUCGAUGGCUGAACCAUGGAUGUGAUGCCCUUUCGUCUCCCUCUAUCAAUCACCUGCUUUUUCUGUCACGAGUAUAAGCCCAUAUAAGGAGGACGAGCCAACAAACAGAAACAAAAUUCAUCCGCACCUAAACAUGUAAGGAUAACGCAAGCGCAACCAAGAAAUGAGACUUUUUGCAAGGACGGUGAACCCACCAGUAGUAAGAGUAAGGGGACCUGCUCAAUUAGAACUACUUAGAUGAUCGGACUGGAGACGGCAGAUGAAUCUAAGUACGAAAGUGAGGAGGUCCCAUCAAACUUCGACACGGUCACGAAACCGAUAUCUGCAAGGUCUUACGAGCUGGUCUGAGUGGAUAUUGACGAUAAGUGACUACACAAAAGCGAUGGUAACUAUCAGCCAUCACCCUGUGCAUAAAGAGUCCCCUAAAAUCACAUAUGCUAAAAAGUAUAAGACCGUAAGUACAGAAAUAUGAUGGGAUCACUCUACUAACGCUAGUAUUAAGUACAGAGGAAGCAGUGGAGAGCGCGAGAGCCAUACUACCCACCUUUCAGUUUGACUUCGUUGCAGCGGUGGGCAAAUGAAAAAUCUCGUCUAAAACAUAAUUCGGCGCAAUAACAAGGGAGAAGGAACUGCCCAAGGUAAUAUGAAUUCUAAUAGGCCCCUAUGUAAUAGGAGAAGAUGCGGAGAGACUAAGGGCCCCUGCAGCACUGAUAAGGAAGAGGAAACGAACAUCCAUUUUUUAUUUGACUCUCCUGCUUUGGACUGGAUGGUCUAUCACAGCUACCCAACGUCAAAGUCAUGGAUCUAAUGAAGUCCGUCAUGGAAUGUAAAUGGCUGAAUAACGAAAUCUUUUGGCCAAGCAUUUGUGAGCUCACGAGGCAUCAAGCCUAAGGAAAUAUACUGAAAAUUCCUAUCGAUGGGUCACCGCAAAUAAAAAACAAUACUUUAAUUUUAGAUGUUGAUAACACCAGGACUCGAACACUGGUCUUCCGAAUGUUACAAAGCAAUGCUAACCUUGGUAUAAAGGGAAGUAAACCAUUCAUCAACUACUUGGUUGAUACCAUGCUGUGAUAGAGGAAUUCUAUCGAGCUCAAAUUAACUUAAUUCAGGUCACUCUAAAUCAAUUCUGCUCAUCUCGUUUUGAGUCUCAAUAACUUAGUUCAUAUCAGCCUAAUGCAACUCUACUCAACUCAACUAAAUUCCCCAGUGUGUUUGUGCUGAGCAUUGUUGUUGUGAUGGCGAUGUGAUGGCAACAAGCAACUGUCAUUAUGCCAUCAAGAUCUAUAUCAUUUACCAUGUCACAUGCAGAGAAGCCAUUGAAAGUACAGGUACGAUAAAAUUAAUGAAGUGGGAAGGAUCGACAACGCAAAUUCAAAAGAAAAUGAAAAGCAAAUAACGGCUGCAGAAGCAAUAAAGACUUACGUGCAUAUGCGUGCAUCGUGUAUGAGUUGAGGUUUGGUGGUGACGAUGUGUGAAAAGAAUGUAUUUAAACCUAAAGCAAGAGGGUGGCAAGUGCAAUGGCAUCGCUGAUGAUGACGAUGAUGACGCUGACAACAAUGCACUCGGUAUGGAAAUGCUAUUAUCAGAAGCAGCAUCAAAAGCAACAGCUAAACGAAACAUUUUGAGAAAAAUUUUUUGUUUUCGACAAAUUGAAAAACUUUUACCGUUAAGAAUCCACA
Molecule: long non-coding RNA, 2483 nt
Filed under: Ceratitis capitata (Mediterranean fruit fly)
Lineage: Eukaryota; Metazoa; Arthropoda; Insecta; Diptera; Tephritidae
Description: uncharacterized LOC110118066, transcript variant X1
Source: RNAcentral